AGUUGUUAAGUCUCUUAUUUCAUAGUCUUGUCCAGAGUCUCCAAGCUCUUUAAAUAAUGUUUUUUUUUCUCUCUUUUUCUCUUUUCAGAUGUCUUCAAGUGAAGAGCUGGAUGUCACGUCAACUGAGGAUGUCACUAGGCCAUCCAAGCCAGCCUCUCGGCCUGAAUCGCCGGCGUUGUCGCGCCAUUCGGUCUAUGAGCGGAAGCCGAAGAGUGAUCCUACCAAGAGGAUCAGCACAAAGACCAAGGUGACUGUGCCCAAGAGAAGGGCUCCUGCAGCUUCGGCAAGCCCCAAGAAGGCGAACAAGCAGUUUAUGGCAGUGGACCCUCGAGAUGUCGCGGUGAACCCCAAGACAGUGGUGCGCGCCCGCCCCUCCACAGAGGUCACCACCUCAACCAGCCUUUUGAGGAAGCCUAAAAGAGUUAGCCGCAUUCCGGUUAAAUGUGUUACUCCUCGGCCGCGGGCAGCUGCCUCAGCCGCAGCUCCAGGCCAGUCGGCCGUAGACGGGCCUAGACCCGCCGUCCAGCAGCCACCAGUGACGCUCGAUAUCGAGGACCUGCUCUUACAAACCCCGGAGCCUAUCAGGACACCACCUUCGUCAUCCCCGUUCCUGCCGUCCCUUUCGCCUUCCCCACCUGCUCCUCAGCACCAAGCCUCGCCCCGACCCGCCGUUGCUCCACCCACCUUUGGCUCACCCAUCGACCUGAUUUCUCCCUCCGUUGUAGUCCUUUCUCCUAUAGCCUCUUCGUCCUCAACGUUGCGUCCUCAGCCUUUGCAGCCGAUGAUUAUCAAGGUCGCUGAUGCUAGGCUGCAGACUCCAACCUGGAUGGUGGAGAGUCUCAUUGAGGAGUACCUCGGCAGGGAGCCGUCCAAGGAGCUGCCGCCCUGGUUAGUGAGGAAGAUGGAGUUGGCGGCGUGUCGGUCGCGCGCUAGGGCGCGUCGGCAUCAAGAAGAGCAAGCGGAAGAGGGCAGACGGCGCGUAAGCCAGCGCGACGGGCGGCGUCCAGAGCCCCGACGCAGACACCACCGCUCAGAUCAGCCACGCACCGGCUCUCGUCGCUCUGGAAGAGGUCAGCGGCGCUGACACCCUUUGUAUCUUGUCUCUUACAUCUUUUGUACCUUUGUACUUUUGUACUUUUGUAUUUUUGUAUUUUUGUAUUUGCAUUAGCGAGCUGUACGAAUAGAGUUUAAUAGCUUGCGUAAUCGUUUUGU
RNAcentral lists this long non-coding RNA (1212 nucleotides) under Bemisia tabaci. RNAcentral describes it as "lncRNA ENSSSA3NGG002536". Lineage: Eukaryota; Metazoa; Arthropoda; Insecta; Hemiptera; Aleyrodidae. The record is from RNAcentral.